This 464-nucleotide ribosomal RNA is filed under the name uncultured bacterium. RNAcentral describes it as "partial 16S ribosomal RNA". It matches the Rfam family "Bacterial small subunit ribosomal RNA", at positions 30 to 507 of the family's 1533-position model. The record is from RNAcentral.
AUUGAACGCUGGCGGCAGGCCUAACACAUGCAAGUCGAGCGGAUGAAGGGAGCUUGCUCCUGGAUUCAGCGGCGGACGGGUGAGUAAUGCCUAGGAAUCUGCCUGGUAGUGGGGGAUAACGUCCGGAAACGGGCGCUAAUACCGCAUACGUCCUGAGGGAGAAAGUGGGGGAUCUUCGGACCUCACGCUAUCAGAUGAGCCUAGGUCGGAUUAGCUAGUUGGUGGGGUAAAGGCCUACCAAGGCGACGAUCCGUAACUGGUCUGAGAGGAUGACCGGCCACAGCGGGACUGCGAUACUGCCCUGUGUCCGACGUGAGGCAGGGGUGGGUACUAUUGCAGAAUGGGAGGGAGUCUGACGCAGCAACGCCUUGUGCGGUAUGACGUCCUUCGGGUUGUAAACCGCUUUCGCCUGUGACGAAGCGUGAGUGACGGUCAUGGGUAAAGAAGCACCGGCUAACUCCGUG